UACGUAGGGGGCAAGCGUUGUCCGGAAUUAUUGGGCGUAAAGAUCGUGUAGGCGGUCCGGUAAGUCAGCUGUGAAAGUCAAGGGCUCAACCCUUGAAAGCCGGUUGAUACUGUCGGGCUAGAGUCCGGAAGAGGCGAGUGGAAUUCCCGGUGUAGCGGUGAAAUGCGCAGAUAUCGGGAGGAACACCAAUGGCGAAGGCAGCUCGCUGGGACGGUACUGACGCUGAGACGCGAAAGCGUGGGGAGCAAACAGG
This 253-nucleotide ribosomal RNA is filed under the name uncultured bacterium. RNAcentral's name for it is "partial 16S ribosomal RNA". It matches the Rfam family "Bacterial small subunit ribosomal RNA", at positions 524 to 776 of the family's 1533-position model. The record is from RNAcentral.